Long non-coding RNA from Trifolium pratense (red clover), 4047 nucleotides. RefSeq lists it as uncharacterized. The transcript is spliced from 5 exons. The record is from RefSeq and is a predicted model, not a curated record. Lineage: Eukaryota; Viridiplantae; Streptophyta; Magnoliopsida; Fabales; Fabaceae.
AAGGGUUAAACUCUAGACUACUUGUUCAUUAAGGCUCUGAUACCAUAUCUAGAACCAACUAUCUCAAAAGCUUGUGAAUGGUAUUAAAGUAUCUUAACAAUGGUAUUUCCGUAUUAGUACCCCAAGUGUAUGAGAUGAUUUAGUCCCACAUCGGAGAGAUAGGAUUCUUGAGAAGAGGUUAUAAAGAGGAGGCACUCCUCACCGUAAAAUCCGGUUUUGUAAGGAUGAGUUAGGCCUUGAUAUUCAUGACAUGAGAGACCUAGUAAUUCUCCUAUUAGAUCCCUACUUAUAUCUUCUGAUGUAUUGUAGGUCUACUAUCAUUAACACGGUUUCUCUUUUCAAUGGUAAAAGUAAGGAUUAUCAUAUGCUUACUCAUGCAUACUGGAUCAUUGAUCACCUGUGCUAUAUAUGCAUGCCUCAAAAUUUUCUGAUCUAUUUUGCUGACACAUGGCUUUUUUGUCUUCAUAAUAAUUUGCAAGGAUGAUGAUUGCUAAGGAAGAACCAUUUGGCAGUGGUAUACAGGCAAGUAGGAUCCAUGAUACUAUUUUUUUAUGACAUCAACUGUUUUAAUGACAGGAACUUGAAUAAGUUCCAUUUAUUUGUUUGAGCAGACGUUAAACUUGAUGCCAGCAGUACAGAAAUUUCACAAACUCAACUCUCAGGAACUUUGUAGAUUAUUAAAGGAUGCUGGCAAUUUUCAUGUUCACUACCGUACUGGAAAAGGAGGGCUGCUGGAGGUUGAUAUGGACAAGCUUGCAAGAUACACACAAAGUCAUUAUAUCUUGAAUACGACGGCUUUUUCAAAAAAACAAAUAAAGCAAUGUGGUGCCUGGAUGCUAUCCUAGCAGUGUUUGUUUCAAAUAUUAUAGAAGGCCUGAUCGGGAUUUCUUGGGCAUAUGAGUUUUGUGACACUUCUUUCACAAUCAUUGGCUCUGGUAGAAACCUGGUUUGUUCAUUGAAUUGUUUGGAAUUAAUUUUUCAGACUAUGGUCCCACGUAUUUUGAAUUAUAUGAACCUGUUUUAGGCAGAUUAGUGUGUUGAAACAAGGUAGUUCUAUGUAAGUAUGAAGCCUUAAUUUAAUUUGAUGAACUCUACUGAUUAUAAUUUAUUUUUGUUUUAGUGUUACUCUUUCUACUAUUUUUAUUAACAUUCUUUGCAAUUUCCUCUUUUAAAUUCACUUGGAUAUUUCAUGACAGAUAAAGCUAUGAAUGUGCAACCGUGGCAGAGGUUAUUCUUCAAAAUGUUUGUUCUACCUUUGGUUUUCAAGUUUACAUGAUUCUUGAGAAUUUAUGUGCAGUGUUUAUUACUUUAAUCUUCUAGAUGAAGGCAAUUAAAAGAGUGUAAAUGGUAAAUAUUUCGUUUGGUCUUGUGUAGGACUUCAUAGGGUACCUCAUUUGAAGAACAACUGUAGGAAGUAUAUUUGUGAAAUAUAUCCACCAGUGACAAAAGCAAAUGACCAAAGCUUAUGAGGUAACUCUGCAUAGGUGUUGUGAAGUUAGAGGUGUCAUGUUGAGAUAAAAAAAUACGCAAUUUGAUAUACUAUCCAUCAUUAUUAUUUGGAUUUACUGAUUCAAAAGUUGUAUUUUUAUAAAAAUUCUAUAAUGAACUCGUAUUGUUAUCAUUUAGACUAUACUGAAGAAUCUGGUGUAUAAGUUAUUUUACUACAGAGCCAAUAAUAUAUAGAUCUUUAUUUUGCAUUAAUUUCAUAGUGUAACGCUUCCUAGAACACAUAAGAUGACAACUUAUCAGUAUUUUCUAAUGACUAAGUGAUUGACAGGUUUAAGUCUCUGCUGCAUCAAAGAAAGGUCACCCUAGACCCUACAUAUGAUUCAACUGAAAUCUUUCAACAUCGUGUCUACUUCAAUCUUCUUGCAUCAUGUCUAUGUAUAUGUAUUUGUUUUCGAAUAAUUGGGAUAUUGUUCUUAGAUUGUGUACAAACUGGUGUUGAAGUUUGUGUUUCUUCUGGUGUUGGAGUUUGUGUGUUUUAGUAUCCAGAACCUGAGUACACGAUUUUGGAAUAAUUCUUUUCCCUUCCCAAGAUGAAGAAUUUUGGACGACUUGUUCGUUUGGAGAGGUUUUCUAUAAUCUUCUUUUACUGGUUUCUAUUGUUAUUUGUGAUUUAAAUGAUGAUGUUGAUGAUGAUGAUGAUACUCGUAAAAAGAUAUCUUUGUCAUUACAGUGGCCUGGGACUCCUCUGUGACAGUAGGAAUAAGCCAAAAUCAUGUAACGCAUCAUCUGCUUUUGAGUUUUUUGUGGACAGAUAGCCAAUAAAUGUGCAGCAGGCACAGGUUCUCAUAUUUAACAUUAAACUAGUAAUUUUUUUAUUUGUGUGUAUUUGUUUCUGGAUUUGGGAUAUAAUAACUGGAUUUUGUAGCAAUAACUUGGUAUAGGGGGAACCGAGCACAAGAAUCUGCAAUAGUCUGUUGUUGUUGUACUUUCAUUUAGGGAUUGCUACUCUUCAAUGAAUUCUUCACGAUUCUUUGUCUUUUUUGAGGAUCUCUCUUGAUUCUUUCAUGAGUUCCAUUUUGGUUUCACGGGGGGAUACGUACUGUGAAAGUUGUAGUGGAGAUUAUCAUGGACGUGUUUUUGGUUUGGUGUACUGGGUGGAGAGCAUAUAUCGUCUGUAGAUACUUGAUCCAAUUGGAAAGAAAGGAGAGUUAGAUAAUUCAAAUUUCUUCAAUGAGUUGCUAUUUAUAUUUAUAUUUUUAUUUUCAGACUUUGUCAUAAGACAUACUAAUUGAAUUGUGAACUACUUUUCUGCAGCGUGGUUUGUCAAAAUAAUGUUCUUCAUGACGGUAGAGCCUUAAGUUUGAUUUGGUGAUCUCUAGUAAAUUCUUUAGUUUCAGUAUUUGUUCAUUGAUUUUGAGAGCAUAUAUGUAUUGAUUUGUUAUUUUUCUCUUUGGUUUUGCAGGAGAGGUAAUAUAAAUGCACAUAAUUCCUUCGUGUUCUAUCUUCCUCUUUUUGAUCUUUUAGUUUUUGUUUUCACACUCUUUUUUCCCUGGUUACUUUGAUUUUGAUCUUGAAGUUUUCUGUUCUUAUUUUAAUGAUCUGCAGCUACUAAUGAAUUGUUAGUUUUCACAAUAUUGAGAUAUUAUUUUAUACAUAUUGCAGCAAGCUUCUGGUUCUAUAUUCCUCAUGUUUGAUCUUCAUGUUUAAUAUUUGAUGAAACAUGUAUCUGCUUAUUGCACAUUGCAGUAUAGUGUGUUUUGAAACAAUAACUUUCUGUGUAAUAUCAAGCAAUCAGGUUUAUUGCAAUGUGAAUUAUUUUCGAUUCAUUUUCUCUGGGGUUUUAAAUUCUUUUAUUUUUCAAUAUUUCAUCGGUAUUGUUAUUCUUUUCUGGUUGAUUAUUUUGGGUUUUUACUUUUUAUGAUAUUAUUUGGUUGUUGUUGCAUUCAAUCUUGGAGUUUUCCGCUCUUAUUUUAAUGAUGAUACACUACGAUUAUAGAGUUCGUUAGGUUUUUAGUCAACUUGUUUUCUAAUUCCUCUUUUGCGUCAAAUAUUAUUCUUCGGUUGAGUUCUGAUGUGAAUUUUCUUUUUGACAGUGCAGAAGUUUACACGAUUCUGGAGAAAUUUUGACAGCUUUGUGGAGCUCUCUUUGUAAUUAUGACCUUUUGAUCAGCGACCUGGUUUGUGCAAGUACCUAGAAGUCUCUUUCUCACUGCACCUUGUUAAUUUUGUUGUGCUGCAAUUGGAGAUGAGUACCUCUGUGCUUUGUGCUACUUGUGUCCUGUGAAAUAAUUGGUCUUUAUUUUUAACUUAUGUGUUUGUUCCCAAUAAUUGGUCUUUUUUUUAACUUAUGUGUUUGUUCCCAAUAAUUGGUCUUUUUUUUUUAUUGGUGCCGAGCAGAGCGUUGUUUCCUCUGAUGCAAUGGACAGGAAGGGCUCGGUUUGUGGUUGUCAUUUUAAUUUGAUUCAUUACUCAGGAUUUUUGUUCUGUGCUUCUUUAUGAGGUAAUGUUUUUAUUGGAUUGGAUUCAUUUAUGUUGAGUAUGGUUCUUAUUCACCGAUAAGUAGACGCACACCCGAGCCUGUUUUUUAAAAGCCAUGAU